UACGUAGGGAGCAAGCGUUGUUCGGAAUUACUGGGCGUAAAGGGUUCGUAGGUGGCCAACUCAGUCAGACGUGAAAUCCCUCAGCUCAACUGGGGAACUGCGUCUGAUACUGGUUGGCUCGAGUGCAGGAGAGGAACGCGGAAUUCCCGGUGUAGCGGUGAAAUGCGUAGAGAUCGGGAGGAAGGCCGGUGGCGAAGGCGGCGCUCUGGAACGUACCUGACGCUGAGACACGAAAGCGUGGGGAGCAAACAGG
Molecule: ribosomal RNA, 253 nt
Filed under: uncultured bacterium
Lineage: Bacteria
Description: partial 16S ribosomal RNA
Rfam family: Bacterial small subunit ribosomal RNA
Source: RNAcentral